GUUUGAUCCUGGCUCAGAUUGAACGCUGGCGGCAUGCUUUACACAUGCAAGUCGAACGGCAGCACGGACUUCGGUCUGGUGGCGAGUGGCGAACGGGUGAGUAAUACAUCGGAACGUACCCAGUAAUGGGGGAUAACUAUCCGAAAGGAUAGCUAAUACCGCAUACGCCCUACGGGGGAAAGAGGGGGAUCGCAAGACCUCUUGUUAUUGGAGCGGCCGAUGGCUGAUUAGCUAGUUGGUGAGGUAAAGGCUCACCAAGGCGACGAUCAGUAGCGGGUCUUAGAGGACGAUCCGCCACACUGGAACUGAGACACGGUCCAGACUCCUACGGGAGGCAGCAGUGGGGAAUCUUGGACAAUGGGCGCAAGCCUGAUCCAGCAAUGCCGCGUGCGUGAAGAAGGCCUUCGGGUUGUAAAGCGCUUUUGUCAGGGAGCAAAAGGUGGUGGCUAAUAUCCAUCGCUCUUGAGAGUACCUGAAGAAUAAGGACCGGCUAACUACGUGCCAGCAGCCGCGGUAAUACGUAGGGUCCAAGCGUUAAUCGGAAUUACUGGGCGUAAAGCGUGCGCAGGUGGUUUGUUAAGCACGAUGUGAAAUCCCCGAGCUCAACUUGGGAAUUGCAUUGUGAACUGGCUAACUAGAGUACGGCAGAGGGGGGUGGAAUUCCCACGUGUAGCAGUGAAAUGCGUAGAGAUGUGGAGGAACACCGAUGGCGAAGGCAACCCCCUGGGCUGAUACUGACACUCAUGCACGAAAGCGUGGGGAGCAAACAGGAUUAGAUACCCCUGGUAGUCCACGCCCUAAACGAUGUCAACUAGUUGUUGGGCUUUUCGGAGCUUAGUAACGCAGCUAACGCGUGAAGUUGACCGCCUGGGGAGUACGGUCGCAAGACUAAAACUCAAAGGAAUUGACGGGGGCCCGCACAAGCGGUGGAUGAUGUGGAUUAAUUCGAUGCAACGCGAAAAACCUUACCUGGUCUUGACAUGUACGGAAUCCUUUAGAGAUAGAGGAGUGCCUUCGGGAACCGUAACACAGGUGCUGCAUGGCUGUCGUCAGCUCGUGUCGUGAGAUGUUGGGUUAAGUCCCGCAACGAGCGCAACCCUUGCCACUAGUUGCUACCAUUCAGUUGAGCACUUUAGUGGGACUGCCGGUGACAAACCGGAGGAAGGUGGGGAUGACGUCAAGUCCUCAUGGCCCUUAUGACCAGGGCUUCACACGUCAUACAAUGGUCGGUACAGAGGGUCGCUAACCCGCGAGGGGGUGCCCAUCUCACAAAACCGAUCGUAGUCCGGAUUGCACUCUGCAACUCGAGUGCAUGAAGUCGGAAUCGCUAGUAAUCGCGGAUCAGCAUGUCGCGGUGAAUGCGUUCCCGGGCCUUGUACACACCGCCCGUCACACCAUGGGAGUGGGUUUCACCAGAAGUAGGCAGGCUAACCGUAAGGAGGCCGCUUACCACGGUGGGAUUCAUGACUGGGGUGAAGUCGUAACAAGGAGCCGUAA
This 1497-nucleotide ribosomal RNA is filed under the name uncultured Neisseriaceae bacterium. RNAcentral's name for it is "bacterial SSU rRNA". It matches the Rfam family "Bacterial small subunit ribosomal RNA". The record is from RNAcentral. Lineage: Bacteria; Pseudomonadati; Pseudomonadota; Betaproteobacteria; Neisseriales; Neisseriaceae.